RNAcentral lists this ribosomal RNA (253 nucleotides) under uncultured bacterium. Its description in RNAcentral is "partial 16S ribosomal RNA". It matches the Rfam family "Bacterial small subunit ribosomal RNA", at positions 524 to 776 of the family's 1533-position model. The record is from RNAcentral.
UACGUAGGGGGCGAGCGUUGUCCGGAAUCAUUGGGCGUAAAGCGCGUGUAGGCGGCUCGGUAAGUCCGGUGUGAAACCUUGGGGCUCAACCCCAAGCCUGCACUGGAUACUGUCGAGCUUGAGUCCGGGAGGGGAGAGCGGAAUUCCUAGUGUAGCGGUGAAAUGCGCAGAUAUUAGGAAGAACACCGGUGGCGAAGGCGGCUCUCUGGAACGGUACUGGCGCUGAGACGCGAAAGCGUGGGGAGCGAACAGG